This 2746-nucleotide long non-coding RNA is filed under the name Mus musculus (house mouse). Its description in RNAcentral is "predicted gene, 49937". Lineage: Eukaryota; Metazoa; Chordata; Mammalia; Rodentia; Muridae. The record is from RNAcentral.
GGGGACGCGGGAGACGCAGAGCCCGAGUGCCCACGCGUCCACGCAGCAGAGGACCACUCUUUGCCUUUGGAUGUACUGGGGCUACCACCCUGAGCCGGCUAGGAAGGGAAGAAGCUGGGGUGAAGGGAGGGAAGAGGGCGGGCAUCGGCCACUUGGGGACACUUCAGGUGCAGGCGGGGUAGAGGGCCCCUCUGCGGUGGGUGCCAGCCUUCUCUCUGUUCCACCCAGCCCCCUCUAUCUGACUCCUGCCUCCCCUCUUCGCUUCGCUGCCCACCGCUCUCCCCAGAGCUUCUUUAAGGAUUCCUGGUACCGGAUGCAGCGUCAGGACCGACACAGCGCUCCACAGUUGGCACCCCCAGUGGCCUGGGCAGCUCUGAAAGGGAGGAGCCGCUGUAGAAAUCGGAGAAGCAGCUCGUCAAGCCGGGGUCUGAAAGGGAGCUCACAUUUAUAGUUCCGGCGACCUUGCUCCAGGCACUGCUUCUACUCGCAUGAUGACAGUCCCGAAUUCGAAAUCCUGUUUUCAGAAGGAGACAUGGGCACGAGGAAGUGAAGUGGCUUGUUUGAACUCCGGGGCUGAGCGGGGAUUCAAACCUAGGUCUACCGGAGUCUCAGCAGUACACGUUUGCCUUAGAGCACCAAGGAGCCUGAGGGUUCCGCUCCGUGGGCAAGGUACUUGACCUUUUGGGUCUCCGAUUCCCGCCUCACCUGUAGAAUCAGAGAAAACCGAAUGUAGAUGUAUUCUGAUUAACUGAGCAAAGAGAAGGACUCACCCGUCCACUGUAAAGUGCUUUUGACAGAUGUUCCGUGUGGUUUAUAUCCCAGGCUUUGGAUGUUGGGCAAUAAGCGCCCCGAGGACAAGUCUAAGUUGUCCUCUAUCUAGAUUCGGGAUUUGGGGAGCAGGGAUGAACAAGAAGAAGACGCCAGCGGGGAAAUCCUGUGUGUUUCCUGAAAGAUGCUGGUCUUGAAGUUCACAGCACAGUUAAGUGGGACAGGGCUUAGACCUAAAGCUGUGGAGUGGAAAGUGAAGGAUUCUGGUUGAUCUUAUUUGCUGAGAAAGAUCCCAGAGCCGCAGGGUGGGGCAGAGGGCAUGGUGUGGGUGACUGCAUCCCGAAGCACGAGGAGAGUACAGACUUGAAAUGUUAAAGGAAAAUUGUACUCAAAGUCCGUGGUCUUAACGACAGAAUGGCCUUCCGUAGCCCGAACCGUCAGAAGCUGCAGGAAAUGGCUUUUUUUUUUUUUUUUUUUUUUUUGAUUAUAAACCAGAAGAUAGAAUGUCUUGUUGGGGCUUGAGCUCAGAUCCUAUUGAAACCUUCCGACACAAUUUGCACUUACAGGCCUGGACUUUGCGAGUCACUUUUGUGAAAAUCUUCUGAAAGUGAGGCACACCCUAUAUAAUCCGUAAUAAGUACCUUUUGAGACCUGCCCCUUGAAGUGCUUGGAGGCCGGCAGGCACGCUUGACUAACUGUGUCCACGAGACUGUGUCCACGAGAGGGCGCUCCAGCGUUCCCCUCCAGUACCAACGUGAGGAGUCAAAAUCCCCUGCCAACCCUCACAUUCCUGAAGAAGUAUGACCAGGACUCUUAACAUGUCACCUUUUCAGACCAUACACAGUCAUGAAGAGUCCACCCAAAAGUGUUUCAGUAAGUCUUCCAAAAACUUGCCGACUGGGACCCAACUUCCUUUCCCUUAAAAAGGACAACGUUCCUCCUUAUUAGCAUCACUCAAUACAUACAAUACAUGGAAUACAAUACAUACAAUAGCAUCUAGCCUGAGGAGUCGGUACUCCUUUGUUUUCCUGACUUUAAAGAGACACGGGCUUGUUGGGUUCAUGGAUGGCUCACUGGAAAAGCAAGCGUGCUUGCAGUGCCCGCGUGUGGGUUCACUGGCCGGCUAGGCUAGUAGAAAAGAAAUAGGCUCCAGGGUCCCAAGAGAGUAAAGUGGAGAGUUAGCAGACUGGCCUCAGUAGGUAUGCAUCCCGCAUUGUGCACUUUACAUACAACACAUCAUACAGGCACUAUAGCACACACACACACACACACACACACACACACACACACCUGUGGGCAAGACGUUUAAAAUUCAACUAUGACUUGAAGAGAGGUUUUUUUUUUCCUUCUGUUAAAUAAAAACUAGUUAAAGAUUAUGGUUUAUAGUUAGAAUCAAACUUAAAUCCCUUACUCUGUAGAACGACAAGACAAGGUGGGCUUGCAUCUGUUUGGUUCCUUUGCUGGGCAGUGUAAGACUUUUAUUUGGCCUCUCAUCUGAAAGUGACGAAUCAGCCUCCCUCCAUCUUAGGCUUGAAAGCCAUCUUACAGUGAAGACAAACGAGGCUCGUUCCUAUUUAUGACUAAGUCUGUUUCUCAAGGAUUGGUCUAUGCCCCACCUGUAACCUUAACUACAGAUGUUCUGGCAAUCAUGCCCUUUCUUUCCCCCCCAAAAAAGUUAUUGUAACCAUCUUGCAACCGAACUUUUGUUUCAAAAGGUUGUUAUAGCUACCUGUUGUUAUGACUACCUUAGGAGCAGCUUGCAGUCAGGUCUUUGCUUCAGGAGGUCUUUAGGACUAACUUAUUAUGUUAAUGUUCUUCUCCUGUAACCUCCCUUAUUUUACCCACCAAAUCCCUCAUUUGGAAACCUCCUACCCUUGAACUAUAAAAACCUUGCCUUCCUCACUUCCCAUACAGACCUCUCAAAUUCUGCCUUAGAGGGAGGCAGCCCGUGUGCACAAAUAAAGAGCGUGUUUCGAUU